UAAGGAAUAUUGGACAAUGGGCGCAAGCCUGAUCCAGCCAUGCCGCGUGAGUGAUGAAGGCCCUAGGGUUGUAAAGCUCUUUCACCGGUGAAGAUAAUGACGGUAGCCGGAGAAGAAGCCCCGGCUAACUUCGUGCCAGCAGCCGCGGUAAUACGAAGGGGGCUAGCGUUGUUCGGAAUUACUGGGCGUAAAGCGCACGUAGGCGGAUCGAUCAGUUAGGGGUGAAAUCCCGGGGCUCAACCCCGGAACUGCCUCUAAUACUGUCGAUCUGGAGUUCGAGAGAGGUGAGUGGAAUUCCGAGUGUAGAGGUGAAAUUCGUAGAUAUUCGGAGGAACACCAGUGGCGAAGGCGGCUCACUGGCUCGAUACUGACGCUGAGGUGCGAAAGCGUGGGGAGCAAACA
Molecule: ribosomal RNA, 402 nt
Filed under: uncultured bacterium
Lineage: Bacteria
Description: bacterial SSU rRNA
Rfam family: Bacterial small subunit ribosomal RNA
Source: RNAcentral